This 324-nucleotide ribosomal RNA is filed under the name uncultured eukaryote. Its description in RNAcentral is "partial 18S ribosomal RNA". It matches the Rfam family "Eukaryotic small subunit ribosomal RNA", at positions 1470 to 1796 of the family's 1831-position model. The record is from RNAcentral.
CCCUUAGAUGUUCUGGGCUGCACGCGCGCUACACUGAUGCGCUCAACGAGUUUUAACCUUGUCUGGAAAGGUUGGGUAAUCUUUUUAAAACGCAUCGUGAUAGGGAUAGACUAUUGCAAUUAUUGGUCUUCAACGAGGAAUUCCUAGUAGACGUAGUUCAUCAGACUGCAUCGAUUACGUCCCUGCCCUUUGUACACACCGCCCGUCGCUCCUACCGAUUGAAUGCUCAGGUGAGCCAUUCGGACUUUCAUCAUGCUGGUUUCCAGUUUUGAUGAAGGAAAGUCUUGCGAACCUUAUCAUUUAGAGGAAGGAGAAGUCGUAACA